RNAcentral lists this ribosomal RNA (472 nucleotides) under uncultured bacterium. Its description in RNAcentral is "partial 16S ribosomal RNA". It matches the Rfam family "Bacterial small subunit ribosomal RNA", at positions 28 to 507 of the family's 1533-position model. The record is from RNAcentral.
GAUGAACGCUGGCGGCGUGCCUAAUACAUGCAAGUCGAGCGAACAGACGAGGAGCUUGCUCCUCUGACGUUAGCGGCGGACGGGUGAGUAACACGUGGAUAACCUACCUAUAAGACUGGGAUAACUUCGGGAAACCGGAGCUAAUACCGGAUAAUAUAUUGAACCGCAUGGUUCAAUAGUGAAAGACGGUUUUGCUGUCACUUAUAGAUGGAUCCGCGCCGCAUUAGCUAGUUGGUAAGGUAACGGCUUACCAAGGCAACGAUGCGUAGCCGACCUGAGAGGCUGGGAGGCAACACUGGAGCGGAGAAACGGCCCGGGAUCCUAAGGGAGGCAGCAGGGGGGAAUGGUGGAAAAUGGGGGAAAGCAUGAUGCAGUAAUGCCGCGUGAGUGAUGAAGGCCUUAAGGUUAAAAAGCUCUUUUAACCAGGAUGAUAAUGACAGUACCGGGAGAAUAAGCGCCGGCUAACUCCGUG